GGCUCAAUGGUCUAGACGUAUGAUACACGCUUCGGGUUAUCCCGGGAUUCAUUGUGUAAUCCCAGUUUGUGUGUGGUCCCGGGUUCAAUUCCCGGUUGGGCCC
Non-coding RNA from Mycena vulgaris, 103 nucleotides. NCBI's taxonomy places the organism in Eukaryota, Fungi, Basidiomycota, Agaricomycetes, Agaricales, Mycenaceae. The record is from the annotation of a GenBank genome assembly.